CAUCACUACGCUAGAUGCAUAUCAAUAAGCGGAGGAAAAGAAACUAACAAGGAUUCCCCUAGUAACGGCGAGUGAAGCGGGAAGAGCUCAAAUUUGAAAUCUUAAAGGGUUUCCCUUUACGAAUUGUAGUUUAAAGAAGUGUUUUCUGUUGGAGUUUCGGUAAAAGUUCUUUGGAAUAGGACAUCAUAGAGGGUGAGAAUCCCGUAUUUGACCGUUACUUUCCAGCUGUGUGAUACACUUUCAAAGAGUCGGAUUGUUUGGGAAUGCAGUCCAAAAUGGGUGGUAAAUUUCAUCUAAAGCUAAAUAUUGGCGAGAGACCGAUAGCGAACAAGUACCGUGAGGGAAAGAUGAAAAGAACUUUGAAAAGAGAGUUAAACAGUACGUGAAAUUGUCAAAAGGGAAGCGUUUGACACCAGUGUUGUUUAGCUUGAAAAUCAAUUCAAUAAUUUUUGAUUUUGAGUAGUAUUGACUUCAUCAGCUUGCUGCUUUCUUUUCGAAAUUAUUGAAUGCACUUUUCAGUUAACAAGUCAACAUCAAUUUCUUUUGUUGUAAAAGGGUAAGAGGAAGGUGGCUUACGCUUCGGCGUAAGUGUUUAUAGCCUUUUACCUCUGCAAUCGGAGAGAUUGAGGACAGCAGCGUAGACUCCUUCGGGGGUUAGAUACACUUGUGCUAAGCUAUAGCCUUGUAUAGACAACUUGUUGACUAUGCUCAGUCAUGUAGCUUACUCGCUUGUGCUAUUUUACCUACGCUUAGGAUGUUGACACACGCGCGUGCUCG
Molecule: ribosomal RNA, 777 nt
Filed under: uncultured Neocallimastigales
Lineage: Eukaryota; Fungi; Neocallimastigomycota; Neocallimastigomycetes; Neocallimastigales
Description: partial large subunit ribosomal RNA
Rfam family: Eukaryotic large subunit ribosomal RNA
Source: RNAcentral